RNAcentral lists this long non-coding RNA (640 nucleotides) under Chloebia gouldiae (Gouldian finch). RNAcentral describes it as "Erythrura gouldiae (Gouldian finch) lncRNA (ENSEGOG00005011221.1)". Lineage: Eukaryota; Metazoa; Chordata; Aves; Passeriformes; Passeridae. The record is from RNAcentral.
GAAGGUCCAGGCUGGUUUUGGGGCUCCCUCAUGAGAUCCUGGGUGGAUUUUGGUGGGUCUGGGGGAGGUUUGGGCAGGCCUGGCAGGAGCUGGGCUGGAAUGUCCACCUGGCCCUACCCGUGAGCAGCUCUAUCCAGGUCUGAACGGUCUCCGCUGACUCCGUGGCCUUGAUGUGCCUGAGGGUCUCAUCCAGCAGCACAUCCCCGGUGGGAGCAUCCGACUUCAGCAGCACCUGGCAGGGCAAAGGGGAUAGAAUGUUAAAAUAGAAUUNNNNNNNNNNUUUCCCCACUCCUGCCUCUCCAAAGGUUCCCAGAUUUCCAUGUUUCCCUGCUCCUGCCUCGCCAAAGCUUCCCAGAUUUUCAUAUUUCGUAUUUCGUUGUCUCUCCAAAGCUUCCCAGAUUUUCAUAUUUUCCUGUUCCUGUCUCUCCAAACCCUCCCAGAUGUUCAUGUUUCCUAUUUCCCUGUCCAAAACCUCCCAGAUUUUCCUGCUCUUGUCUCUCCAAACCCUCCCAGAUUUCCACAUUUCCCUGUUCCUCUCUCUCCAAAGGUUCCCAGAUUUUCAUAUUUCAUAUUUCCUUGUCUCUCCAAAACCUCCCAGAUUUUCAUGUUUCAUAUUUCCCUCUCUCCAUAUUUCCUUUCU